RNAcentral lists this ribosomal RNA (253 nucleotides) under uncultured bacterium. RNAcentral describes it as "partial 16S ribosomal RNA". It matches the Rfam family "Bacterial small subunit ribosomal RNA", at positions 524 to 776 of the family's 1533-position model. The record is from RNAcentral.
UACGUAGGGACCGAGCGUUGUCCGGAAUCAUUGGGCGUAAAGAGCGUGUAGGCGGCCAGGUAGGUCCGUUGUGAAAACUCGAGGCUCAACCUCGAGACGUCGAUGGAAACCAUCUGGCUAGAGUCCGGAAGAGGAGAGUGGAAUUCCUGGUGUAGCGGUGAAAUGCGCAGAUAUCAGGAAGAACACCCGUGGCGAAGGCGGCUCUCUGGGACGGUACUGACGCUGAGACGCGAAAGCGUGGGGAGCGAACAGG